AGGACGGGUUGCAUAUGUAUAGUUCCGGAGGGACCAGCAAGUCGACAAUAGCUCUCAGUCUCCCAGAGAUCACCAGGAUCGAACAUUGUGCAUAUCUAUUGUGAGAGGGAAUUCGAGCAGACGAAAUGACAGUUAACUGGUGGAUUAUUCAGGAUGAAUAGUUAACCCAUACAGCUUCAUGCAAGAGUGAGGGCCGCGUGUUGCAAGCGGCGCAAUGGCGACACCCUGCUGCAAGACGGCUGGACUGCCCUGUACGAGCGGCCACUCGUUCGUACCCUGCGGCUGUUUCAGUAUCAACUGCUCGUGCUGCGUAGCCAGAAAAUUUGCCACACAUUUUACUACGGUGUAUAUUUUAUGUAUGAAAGCCAGAGUGUACCAGAAAAAAUGCGAUUUAUUUCGACGCGAUUAUUUCUGCAGAUGAAUGAAUUUGUUGAACUGUUGAGCCGAUGUUGUUGAACAUAGCAUCACUGUGUACAUGGUAUCUUGAUUCAUACUUUGUUACUAUCUGUGUAUUAAACAAAAGUUAGUAUAUUUUGUUAGUAUUUACUAAAAGAUACACAAA
This is a long non-coding RNA of Procambarus clarkii (red swamp crayfish), 562 nucleotides long. RefSeq lists it as uncharacterized. The record is from RefSeq and is a predicted model, not a curated record. Lineage: Eukaryota; Metazoa; Arthropoda; Malacostraca; Decapoda; Cambaridae.